GAAAUGCGAUAAGUAAUGUGAAUUGCAGAAUUCAGUGAAUCAUCGAAUCUUUGAACGCAUCUUGCGCUCCUUGGUAUUCCGAGGAGCAUGCCUGUUUGAGUGUCAUUAAAUUCUCUCAAAACAUGCACUUGAGUGAUUGUGUGUUUUGGAUUGUUGGGAGUCUGCUGGUUUUGGGCCAGCUCUCCUUAAAAACAUUAGCUUUGGGAGGGAUGUGCUGAGUCACUUCUGCCAUUCCAUUGGUGUGAUAGAUUAACGUUUAUAUCUACACCAGGUUUGCAGGUGUCACGCAUUUUUAAUCUCUCUGCUCUCUAAUCGAGACCCCUUUGUCUCUUCUGAAAACUUGACCUCAAAUCAGGUAGGACUACCCGCUGAACUUAA
Molecule: ribosomal RNA, 378 nt
Filed under: Amanita sp. 72-822
Lineage: Eukaryota; Fungi; Basidiomycota; Agaricomycetes; Agaricales; Amanitaceae
Description: eukaryotic LSU rRNA
Rfam family: 5.8S ribosomal RNA (bases 1-105)
Source: RNAcentral